CCAAAUGGCUCAAAAGACAGCAACUGCCGCCUCCCAGCGAGACCCCGGUCAGGAAUCCUAGGUUAACUCACGCAGAGUCCUGUCCUGACAACCGUGCAUCCACACUGCAACGUUGCCUGGUCCUGCCCAUCUUCUGAUUCUAGGAAGAAUGUGACAGACGGCACACACGGGGUGAGGACAGACCUCAGACGGAGCAGAGCUGACAAAUCACUACUCACUGCGCACAGGAGAAGACCAAGAGAUAACUGCAGAAUCUUGAAGUCGGUAGGAAAUCUGUUUUGAUGGAGGAUAGCAGAGGUGCAUUUCCACAUCAACUGACCACAGUGAUAGCCCCAGGACGGCAGGUAUGAGAUGCUCAGGAUGUCCUGGAGAUGAGAGAAGAAUGAUGCAAUGAAUACUGCUGAAGAAUGGAACAGGGGCCAAGGCCAAAGGCAGCUCUUCUUCGCCAAGACAGCUAGACGACCAGAUUUCUGAAUCAGGAAUUUGGACAGAGCACAGGAGGGACGGCUUCUCUAGCCAUCCCAGUUCUGGGGUACAGAGUCACUUAGCGUUGGGAGCCCCUCACCCUGGCAGGGGAGAUGCUCUGGCUGGCAACGUGCUCGGUGGUGAUAAGGAAUUGAGGAGAAGCCAUAUUCAGAGGUCUCUGAGAUUCCUGCUGAGAGCCAGAGUACA
Chinchilla lanigera (long-tailed chinchilla) is the source of this 672-nucleotide long non-coding RNA. RefSeq lists it as uncharacterized. The record is from RefSeq and is a predicted model, not a curated record. Lineage: Eukaryota; Metazoa; Chordata; Mammalia; Rodentia; Chinchillidae. The transcript has 4 exons.